CGAGCUGACGCAGCACGCCGCGUGAGGGAUGAAGGCCUUUGGGCUGUAAACCUCUUUUCUCAAGGAAGAAGACCUGACGGUACUUGAGGAAUAAGCCACGGCUAAUUCCGUGCCAGCAGCCGCGGUAAUACGGGAGUGGCAAGCGUUAUCCGGAAUUAUUGGGCGUAAAGCGUCCGCAGGCGGCCGUUUAAGUCUGUUGUUAAAUCGUGGAGCUCAACUCCAUCACGGCAAUGGAAACUGUUCGGCUUGAGUAUGGUAGGGGCAGAGGGAAUUUCCGGUGUAGCGGUGAAAUGCGUAGAUAUCGGGAAGAACACCAGUGGCGAAAGCGCUCUGCUGGACCAUUACUGACGCUCAUGGACGAAAGCCAGGGGAGCGAAAGGGAUUAGAUACCCCUGUAGUCCUGGCCGUAAACGAUGAACACUAGAUGUUGGGGGAAUCGACCCCCUCGGUGUCGUAGCUAACGCGUUAAGUGUUCCGCCUGGGGAGUACGCACGCAAGUGUGAAACUC
Molecule: ribosomal RNA, 508 nt
Filed under: uncultured cyanobacterium
Lineage: Bacteria; Bacillati; Cyanobacteriota
Description: bacterial SSU rRNA
Rfam family: Bacterial small subunit ribosomal RNA
Source: RNAcentral